GCGCCCGUAGCUCAGUCGGAUAGAGCACCGGCCUUCUAAGCCGGGGGUCGCAGGUUCGAUCCCUGCCGGGCGCGCCA
Molecule: transfer RNA, 77 nt
Filed under: Acidobacteriota bacterium
Lineage: Bacteria; Pseudomonadati; Acidobacteriota
Also listed under: 2 other names
Description: Acidobacteria bacterium (wastewater metagenome) tRNA-Arg
Rfam family: tRNA
About the family: Transfer RNA (tRNA) molecules are approximately 80 nucleotides in length. Their secondary structure includes four short double-helical elements and three loops (D, anti-codon, and T loops).
Source: RNAcentral